CAUCCCGGAGAAUGACAAGAGAGCGAGUACCUGGGUGACGUUUACGUUCUGGGAUUUCGGGAGAUGCGGUUUUCUGCACGCCAGGGGCCAAGCCUGAGACGUAGAUGGACGGCAGGGAUAGGAGCUCUCUCCGCGCCACAAACGCCCCUGCUCAUACCUGGGUUCCUUGAUUUUCCUGCCUAUAUAACCGAGCCUCCCAUGGCCGGGCUCUGAGCUCUCAUUCUGCGGACUGGGACAAAGGGGUUAACUGUGAUGAGCUUUGUAUAACCCCAGGAUUCUGCACUUGCCCAAGGGCGAGGCGCAAAUCAAAAACUACGCACAACUGAACACCGAGAUCAGCUUACUCAGACCCGAUGAUCCAAGAUAAGACCAAAGCCAAACGGAUCCAGCAACUCUGCGCAGAUCUUCAUGUUCCAGCAGCUAAGUUCCACUGAAUAAACCUAUGAUUCGCCUAGUUUAGAAAUU
Molecule: long non-coding RNA, 465 nt
Filed under: Homo sapiens (human)
Lineage: Eukaryota; Metazoa; Chordata; Mammalia; Primates; Hominidae
Description: HSALNT0333383
Source: RNAcentral